ACGACCCAACAGAACACUGAGCGUCUUGUACAAACUUGCCCCCUCGGAGGGAAAGCUCUUAGCACACCUAGAUGCCAAAUAACUGACCAUGAGCCAGGCUAUCAGAGCCGUAGGCACUAUGAACGACAAGUACCACCGGGCAGCCCGGGAUGGCUACCUGGACCUACUCAGAGAGGCCACUCGGAAGCAGCUCAACGCGCCCGAUGAAGACGGAAUGACACCGACGUUAUGGGCUGCGUACCACGGCAACCUUGAUGCGCUCCGACUCGUUGUGGGAAGAGGAGGUGACCCUGACAAGUGUGAUAUUUGGGGCAACACUCCGCUCCAUCUGGCCGCCGCCAACGGCCACCACAGCUGCCUGUCCUUCCUGGUAUCGUUCGGUGCCAACGUGUGGUGCCUGGACAACGACUACCACACGCCCCUCGACAUGGCCGCCACCAAGAGCCACAUGGACUGUGUCCGAUACCUGGACUCCAUCGCCGCCAAGCAGUCUGUCCUCAACCCCAAGCUGGUGGAGAAGCUGAAAGACAGAGCCUUCCGCGCGGCAGAAAGGAGGAUAAAGGACUGUGUGAAGAUGCAGCAGAAACACCACCAGCGGCUGGAGAGAAAGUUCCUGAAGGAGAGCGUCAGGUCGGAUAACUCAGACGCCAUGAGUUUCUCUAGUUAUAACAGCAGCAGCACGCUAAGCCGCAAUCUUCCUCAGUUCAACACUGUCACUUCCAACAUGCCAUACUCACAGGCCACUGUACACUCCACAGCCAAGGGGAGGACCAAGAUUCACAAGAAGCUAGAGAAGAAGAAACAGGUGGACGGCACCUUUAAGAUCUACGAGGAUGGGAGGAAGAGUGUUCGCUCGCUGUCUGGCCUUCAGCUUGGCCAGGACGUCAUGUUCCUAAAGCAGGGCACUUACGCCAACUCUAAGGACCACUCGCGCCUCAACAUCCGGGACAUGUUCCCUCACCACGGCAACAACCACGAUCACCAUGACAACGACCACUAUGAUGACGAUGAACGUGCCGACACCAUCUUCCACCUCUCCCGUGCCAUCAGUGACCCGGUUCUCCACGAGGCCGCCUACUCCGAGAUCAGCACUGACUCGGGCCGUGACUCCCUUUUCACCCGGCCCGGUCUUGGAACCAUGGUGUUCCGACGGAACUACGUCUCCGAUGGCCUCUUCGGCAUUGGAGCCCGGGACGAGGAUUCCGUGGCUGGCUCAGAGCCGGUGGGCCGUGCCCCUAACGUCCGCCUCCGUGGCCGUCUCCCCCGGCGCCAGCCCAGCCUGGAUGAUGCAAUAAAGAUAGACAGCAUCAUGAGCGCCCUGAGCCUCCAGGAGAGGAACCUGCAGGAGCUGCCCUGGGAGGAGGCUGACGUGGGCCUGGACGAGGAGCUGCCUUGGGAGGAGACUGACGUGGGCCUGGACGAGGAGCUGGAGCCUGAGAGUGGACGCCUGGAGACGUUUCUUGCCUCCCAGAGCCUGGGGGAGUUCAUGCCCAUUUUCAGGAGGGAGAAGAUUGACCUCCAAGCUCUGUUGCUCUGCUCAGACCAGGACCUGACCUCCAUACACAUCCCACUGGGACCCAGGAAGAGGCUGCUAAAGGCUUGUAGGAGACGGCUGGACACCCUGGAGGAACCAGAGGGCAUCAAGGACACUGAGCUCUGACGGUCAGUAUUACUGUACAAAUUACUACAUGAAGUCAAUGACAGGCAAAGCACGUUACUUUGUUAAUCAUGGCUCAAACAGCAGAAGGAAUCAAGGACACUGAGCAAGGACACUGAGCAAGGACAUUGAGCAAGGACACUGAGAGGAGAGAUGACAUGGUGACAUCUGGAUACUUCCUAUUGAAUGACACACAGAGUCCUGUCUGCCUAGCAGCUCUAGUCCAUGGAGAGCUGUGGUCCUGCCUAGCAGCUCUAGUCCAUGGAGAGCUGUGGUCCUGCCUAGCAGCUCUAGUCCAUGGAAAGCUGUGGUCCUGCCUAGCAGCUCUAGUCCAUGGAGAGCUGUGGUCCUGCCUAGCAGCUCUAGUCCAUGGAGAGCUGUGGUCCUGCCUAUCAGCUCUAGUCCAUGGAGAGCGGUGGUCCUGCCUAUCAGCUCUAGUCCAUGGAGAGCUGUGGUCCUGACUAUCAGCUCUAGUCCAUGGAGAGCUGUGGUCCUGCCUAUCAGCUCUAGUCCAUGGAGAGCUGUGGUCCUCACUAUCAGCUCUAGGUCAUGGAGUCCUGAGAUGGUGUUAGGAUUAUCCACACAGAGCUGUGGUCCUGCCUGACUAACGCCUCUCCCCAGGGACAGCACUCCCUGGCUGGGGACACAGAGAACAUUACACUGGGGUCUGGUAGAGUCCCUAGGGUCCUUGUGCCGUGCAUGAGAGGGCGUCUUUAAUUACACACCCAGAUGGUCUGGCAGGGCUGGGUGUGCUGUAGGACGGUGCCUACUUACUUACUGUCAUUGGCACGGAACAAACACACUCACAUGUUUCCCAUAUGGAAUACUGUCAAUUCAUUUGCAACUGAGCAUUUGAUCAUGUUUUUUGUCUAUAUAUUUGUGCAAACGUGUAAUGUUAUUUCCGUAUUUAUUAUUUAUUAAUAGAAAAUGUUUUGUUUAUUGUUUAUUCCAGACAUUACUGUCCAGUUUUGUUACUUUGGUAUGUAUAAUAGUUAGCUCAGAUGAAAACCAUGUCCUUGACACAGAAUAUAAAAAGGAUUCAACUCUGUUAUAUUUAUUUUUUAUGUUUAUUUAACCUUUAUUUAACUAGACAAGUCAGUUAAGAACACAUUCUUAUUUUACAAUGACAUAAAUGUGUCCCAAAUU
This is a non-coding RNA of Oncorhynchus mykiss (rainbow trout), 2803 nucleotides long. The record is from RefSeq and is a predicted model, not a curated record. NCBI's taxonomy places the organism in Eukaryota, Metazoa, Chordata, Actinopteri, Salmoniformes, Salmonidae.